UCGGCUAACGAAAAAUAUAUUUAUUAAAACAAAUGACUAAGAUAUGAUUUAAAUAUCACUACUACAUGCAAGUAAUUACUGAGACGUUUCAAAAAUAUGGUCUUAAUGAAUAAACGUGGGAAAUUUUGAACAUAACAUUAUUCCAUACAUAUUACAAUGAACCUACUAAAAUGCGACAUGAAUUUGACUACUCAAAACAUCACUAUAACGUACGCAUAAAAUGUUUCAAAAAUAUUUUCCACAUGAAUGAACGUGCGAAAUAUUAAGCAUAACAGCACCAUUUCACAUAUAUUACAAUAAACCAACUUACAAUAAGAUGUGACGUAAAUUUAUAUUAUGUAAAAUAUCAUUAUUACGUACACGUAAAUAUCUACACGUUUAAAAAAAUACGCUCCAAAUAAAUGAAUGUGUGAAAUUUUGAACAUAUCAUCAUUCCAAGUAAAUUAAAACAAAACUUAUUAAAAUACUACAUAAAGUCGUAUAACUCGAAACAUUCCCACUAACAUACAUACUACUAUAAAUUAUACAAAGUCUGAUCGAAAUGAAUGCUAUGUUAAAAAUUUGGAAGAUAGACAGGAAUAAACGAGUUUGUUCGUUUUCAACGACCGUAAACGUGACUUUGACGAUUUCCUUUUUCUCUCUCUCUCUUUCUCUUUCUACGUAUCCGUGUUAAUUAAUUUGCCCGGUUGUUAAAGAGGACAGGGCCAUAGGAGGAAAAGAAUUGACACGUUUAAAUCGUCCAACAAAGGAGCGAGUUAGCGUAUCGCGCGUGCUGGAGCGAACGAACGAGCUCGCAGAAGAGAGUAUGAGCGGGUUACGUGCUUCGGUGACAUUUAAGUCGCAUAUAUGCUCGCCUUAUUAAGCACGCACGUUGCCUGCCCGUGUAAGACUCGCGAGGCGUUGACGAGAGCAAGCGUAGGGUUGUUAACGACGUGUCUCGUCCAAAAAGGAAAAGGAAAAGGAAAAGGAAAA
This 972-nucleotide long non-coding RNA is filed under the name Polistes fuscatus (common paper wasp). RNAcentral's name for it is "uncharacterized LOC122516200". Lineage: Eukaryota; Metazoa; Arthropoda; Insecta; Hymenoptera; Vespidae. The record is from RNAcentral.